Molecule: long non-coding RNA, 1537 nt
Organism: Colius striatus (speckled mousebird)
Lineage: Eukaryota; Metazoa; Chordata; Aves; Coliiformes; Coliidae
Exons: 8
Source: RefSeq, a predicted model, not a curated record
GGAAUGUUCAGAGUGGUGAUGUUUAUCUUCCUAAGCCACUGUUAUGUGUGAUGGAGCCCUGCGUUCCUGGGAAUGGCUGAGCACCUGCCUGCCCACAGAAGUACUUGUGAUCCUUUACAAGAUGCAUGCUUUCCGAAAUUAAAGGAAAUUUGAAAUUUCUUCAAUCAAACACAAAAAUAAAUGCAAAACAACUGAAGGACAAUAGACUGCAGCCAAAGACCUGAGCAGUUUACUUCAAAGUUUAGCUCUUUGUUAUUUCCUUUAAUGAUGGACACCAUAAGAAAAGGAGAUAAGCCAUUGACAAGGCCUCUCAAUGUGUGAAUGACAGAGGAUUCACAGAUAAAGUGAUAGUCAUUUGCAGCUCUGGCAAUAGCUGUGUUUCCUUGCUAGCCAGGGUCAAAAUGGCUCCUACAUCAGAUAAACUCCACAUUUUAUGCCCUGCUACUAAAGUUGGACAAACUCCUGUACUGCUCCUACCAUCCACCGUGCAAAGUGAAGUCCACAGUAAAACUAUUCUAACAGAAUAAAACUAUUCUGACAGAAGAAAGCCUGUUGGAAUUUGGGAAGUGUAUGCAUCAGCCAACAGUUGACAGCAGUGCACAAUAAUGCAUUGACCUUAUGCUUCCAGAACAGGAAGGUAAUCUUUUAUGUCUCUAUUUUCAUGAAGGAGGGUGUUCACCUUUAUCAGGAAUAGUAAAACUGCAAUUGUCUUUGUUCUAAAACCUCCACUGAUGAUAAUCUACAUGCUAAAUGUCUGUCUGAGACUGAUUAAAAUGCCUGAGUUAAUACCAUUGCAAGGAGAAGAAAAAGCUACCAAUGACUACAAAUGACAAUGGGAAAGAGAAUAAGUUGUGCAUAAACACCAGAAGAAACCAACUGUUGGUGGAGCUCAGAACACUAGUUAUAAUUGCGGUGAUCCCCACUGAGAGUGAUGCUGCUGCUUUGGGAACCUAGAAAUCAACCCUUCAAGAAUACCACUUAAUGUGGGCUUAAACAUGGAACUAAAUAUUAGGCCUCCCUCUGCUUCUUUAAGCUUCUUCAACAUCAUGAAGAAUCCUUGAAAUGCCUAAGUGGGUGUCUGGACAUGCUUCUUCUUUCAGGUUGGUUCUCUGUUGGUUCUCUUUCUGUUUGAACAUGGCAGAAGGAAGAGCCCUAUGCCAACCAACACAAGCUGUUCCGGGAGUCACUAGUCAGUGCAAGAGCGCAUAUACAGCCACUAUGGAUAAGGGAGCUCUGAAAUGAUUUCAAGCGUUCCUAAAGCUCUACCACAUGCCAGAAAAGAGAACUUAAUGAAGCAGAGAACUAUAAACCUCUUUAUCAUCCCUUCCAUCCUAACUGCACUAUGAAAAACCACAGAAGAGGUAACAUUCCAAAUUUGAAAUGACAUAAUUAAAUUGCAGAGCACGACAACAAAUGGUUAAAUUAUUCUUUUCACUUAAAAGCUCCUUUCACUUUAAUAGUAUUGUUAAUGACUUUCUCAUGCAGGAUUGCGAGGUCUGAUUGUUUAGCUCAUCUAUAUUAUUCUCUCCUGUUUUAU